AUUGGAAGGUCCCUAGCAAGGAGAAGAGGUCAUUGGAACAAGUAGAACAUUUAUUGUUGCAAGAUCAACAUUCUAGCCAAGUGGGAAAUUGAAGAAAAAGGAUUUUGGCGGAUUUGGAACGUGAAUUUGGAGUCGCAUAAGAAGCAGAAAAGGUACACCAGAUGAGCCACAGCUAUCAUAGAAGAUGUUCCAGCGGAGUUGGCAGGCUCCACUUGUUCUGGAGUGCUGCCGAGUCAGAGUGUCUGAGCCAUGAUGUUUGUUUGAUGUUAGAGACUUUGCAGACAGAGUCGUGGGUAUAGAGUGUCGAUAAUAUGUUGUAUCAUAAAGUCCAUGUGAUUGCAGAUUCUGUUUGACUUGAGUACG
This is a long non-coding RNA of Lycium barbarum (goji berry), 363 nucleotides long. RefSeq lists it as uncharacterized. The transcript has 3 exons. The record is from RefSeq and is a predicted model, not a curated record. Lineage: Eukaryota; Viridiplantae; Streptophyta; Magnoliopsida; Solanales; Solanaceae.